This 171-nucleotide non-coding RNA is filed under the name unclassified sequences. The record is from Rfam.
CUUCUGUCUCAGUCAAGGGUUCCCAAGCCCAUGGAACAGGUAUCUCGGUUAAUGGUCAUCACACGGCCUCGUGCAAUGUGUUUGUCCUUAGCCUCAGAUCUCCAGCUUGGCUGAAGAAGAAGCGUCAGGGAAACACGUAGGCUAUUUGGCACCUACGGCACAUUAACUGAC